This is a long non-coding RNA of Rosa chinensis, 824 nucleotides long. RefSeq lists it as uncharacterized. The record is from RefSeq and is a predicted model, not a curated record. NCBI's taxonomy places the organism in Eukaryota, Viridiplantae, Streptophyta, Magnoliopsida, Rosales, Rosaceae. The transcript has 5 exons.
CUGGUCUCCUAUAGUUAGACAGUCUUGCCCCGACUCUCUCUCUCUCUCUCUCUCUCGCUCGCUCGCUCGCUCAAAGCUGCUAAGACCAAUCCGGCCUCAGUUGCUAUCACGACUAAAGAAUCAAGCAAGGUUGUUGUCUAUGAGUAACCUCUCAGGUCUCUCUAUCGCUGCCCUAAAUUGGUGAUUUCUGUUCGUCUCAAUCAGGUGAUUUCUGUUCGUCUCAAUCCGGCCUCAGUUGCUAUCACGACUAAAGAAUCAAGCAAGGUCUCUCUAUCGCUGGCCCUAAAUUGGUGAUUUCUGUUCGUCUCAAUCAGGUGAUUUCUGUUCCUCUCAAUCUGGCCUCAGUUGCUAUCACGACUAAAGAAUCAAGCAAGGUCUCUCUAUCGCUGCCCUAAAUUGGUGAUUUCUGUUCUUCUCAAUCAGCAAAGGUGAUCCAUAUCUCCGUCGCCAAGAUCCUUGAGAAAAUAGAAAUACAAGCAUGCCUUCUCCUCAGGAAGUGUUGGGAAAGGGUUCAGAUGGACAGGGUGGUUCUAAUGGAAAUGGUGGCACUCAGCCACCGACUGCUCAAGAUGUACUUGGCCGGCCGAAAUGACAAGGAAAACUGUUAUGCGAAGAAUUGCUCAAUGAUACUCUUCUCUGUUCCGGUCUCUGCAGAUAUACGCAUGCAAGUCUUAACUUAUAUUUACAAAUUAUCUUAAUUUUUGUACAUAUUACAAGUCUAUUCAAAUAUGUAGACAUAUCGAAAAGGAGUGGCUGGUGCUCCCUGAAUAAAUCCCACUGGGUGUGUAAUAGAUCGAAGAAAUUAAUAUAUACAAUAUACAUAU